This 452-nucleotide ribosomal RNA is filed under the name uncultured organism. RNAcentral's name for it is "partial 16S ribosomal RNA". It matches the Rfam family "Bacterial small subunit ribosomal RNA", at positions 333 to 801 of the family's 1533-position model. The record is from RNAcentral.
ACACUCCUGCGGGAGGCAGCAGUGGGGAAUAUUGGACAAUGGGCGCAAGCCUGAUCCAGCCAUGCCGCGUGAGUGAUGAAGGCCCUAGGGUUGUAAAGCUCUUUCACCGGUGAAGAUAAUGACGGUAACCGGAGAAGAAGCCUCGGCUAACUUCGUGCCAGCAGCCGCGGUAAUACGAAGGGGGCUAGCGUUGUUCGGAUUUACUGGGCGUAAAGCGCACGUAGGCGGACUAUUAAGUCAGGGGUGAAAUCCCGGGGCUCAACCCCGGAACUGCCUUUGAUACUGGUAGUCUUGAGUUCGAGAGAGGUGAGUGGAAUUCCGAGUGUAGAGGUGAAAUUCGAAGAUAUUCGGAGGAACACCAGUGGCGAAGGCGGCUCACUGGCUCGAUACUGACGCUGAGGUGCGAAAGCGUGGGGAGCAAACAGGAAUAGAAACCCCGGUAGUCCCAUGAU